AUCUAGCUGACGAGUUCCAAACAGGACGAAACACGCGUCCUGGAU
RNAcentral lists this non-coding RNA (45 nucleotides) under Schistosoma margrebowiei. The record is from RNAcentral. Lineage: Eukaryota; Metazoa; Platyhelminthes; Trematoda; Strigeidida; Schistosomatidae.